This 633-nucleotide ribosomal RNA is filed under the name uncultured eukaryote. RNAcentral's name for it is "SSU rRNA". It matches the Rfam family "Eukaryotic small subunit ribosomal RNA", at positions 608 to 1270 of the family's 1831-position model. The record is from RNAcentral.
AGUUGUUGCAGUUAAAAAGCUCGUAGUUGGACCUUGGGCAGGAGGCACGGGUUGGCCGAAUGGCUCGACUCGGGUCACCGGCCUCUAUGGGUGGUCGUGCCUUUGGGUACGGUUCGCCCGGGUUACUGUGAAGAAAUUAGAGUGUUUAAAGCAGGCGAUUACUUGGAUACAUCAGCAUGGAAUAACAAGAUAGGACCUGGUUCCACUUGUUGGUUUGGGGGCUUUGGUAAUGAUUAAUAGGGCCAGUUGGGGGCAUUAGUAUUCAGUAGUCAGAGGUGAAAUUCUUGGAUUUACUGAAGACUAACUAGUGCGAAAGCAUUUGCCAAGGAUGUUUUCAUUAAUCAAGAACGAAAGUUAGGGGAUCGAAGACGAUCAGAUACCGUCGUAGUCUUAACUAUAAACGAUGCCGACUCGGGAUCGGCAGACGUCGUUAGCGACACUGUCGGCACCGUGUGAGAAAUCAAAGUUUUUGGGUUCUGGGGGGAGUAUGGUCGCAAGGCUGAAACUUAAAGGAAUUGACGGAAGGGCACCACCAGGAGUGGAGCCUGCGGCUUAAUUUGACUCAACACGGGAAAACUCACCAGGUCCGGACAUAGUAAGGAUUGACAGAUUGAGAGCUCUUUCUUGAUUCUG